This 253-nucleotide ribosomal RNA is filed under the name uncultured bacterium. RNAcentral describes it as "partial 16S ribosomal RNA". It matches the Rfam family "Bacterial small subunit ribosomal RNA", at positions 524 to 776 of the family's 1533-position model. The record is from RNAcentral.
CACGUAGGGUGCGAGCGUUGUCCGGAAUUACUGGGCGUAAAGGGCUCGUAGGCGGCCAACUAAGUCAGACGUGAAAUCCCUCGGCUUAACCGGGGAACUGCAUCUGAUACUGGAUGGCUUGAGAUUGGGAGAGGGAUGCGGAAUUCCAGGUGUAGCGGUGAAAUGCGUAGAUAUCUGGAGGAACACCGGUGGCGAAGGCGACAUCCUGGACCAACACUGACGCUGAGGAGCGAAAGCCAGGGGAGCAAACGGG